RNAcentral lists this long non-coding RNA (1043 nucleotides) under Oreochromis niloticus (Nile tilapia). RNAcentral's name for it is "lncRNA (ENSONIG00000041278.1)". Lineage: Eukaryota; Metazoa; Chordata; Actinopteri; Cichliformes; Cichlidae. The record is from RNAcentral.
AGUUAGUUAAAGUGCAGGAAUGUCUUGAUGACUGAAACAAUGCUGUGUUGAAUGUCCUUGACUAAACCAUCACAGUAAACUGGUUUUACUUCCUCCUAAACCAGUUCAGUCGCCUUAUACACUGUUUCCUCUGACAUCGUCUCUCUUUACUGUAUUUCACUGAUGGAACAGGAACUGUUCUUCAAGAUGAUAUACUCAGGCUGUGUCAGUCACUGACCUCUGACCCUCACUGACCUCUGAUGCUCUGUGACCUGUAACCCUCAGUGACCUCUGCCCUCCUGUUGCAGGUGUGUGUGUGCUGCUGCUGUCUGCACUGACUCUUUCUGCAGGUGAGUUGAUGAAGUGAAAACAAUCAGUGAGACUCCAACAAGAACACAAAUACAUUUGAUCCCAAUCACAGACUCAUGAGCUCUCUGCAUCACUCUGUUUGUGUCUGCUGAUCCAAUAAAGGUCUGAUCCUGGAGAUCCCUCCACAUCCUGUGCCAGCAGGAAGUGAUGUCACUAUGCGCUGCAAACAGAGUAAUGGUGACAUCAUCACAGCUAAUUUCUUCUUUAAUGGAAGUCAUGUUGGAAAUAAAUCAGAGUUCAUCAUCACAAACGUUCAGCAGUCUGAUGAAGGUCUCUACUCCUGUGCUACUGAUGUGUUUGGAGAAUCUCCUCAGAGCUUUCUGAGGGUCAGAGAUCCUUCUCCUCAUCUCCACACCCACACCUCCUCUAAUCCUGUGAACUCUCCUGCUCUUGUUUCUCCUGUAACAGACUCCUCCGCUAUUCCCUCCUCCUCCAUCCUCAUUCCGGUUGUAGCAGGUCUGGUUUCCGUGGUUCUUCUGGUUUUGGUGGUUUGGGGAGUUCUCUGGAAGAAACAGAAAGCAGCGCUCCACUCCUCCUCUCCUGUACAUGUGAACUGCAGUGACGUCACCAUCACACAGAGAGACAAUAGGAGAGCUAAAAGUCCUGAUGAUCCAGAUGUUAUCUACUCUGAUGUGAGGACUCACACUUCAGGCCCUGAUGAUGUUGUUUACCGUGAGGUGAUCUUCAGAAGGUAG